GUUAAGUUAGUGGCGGACGGGUGAGUAACGCGUGGGUAACCUGCCGUAUACCGGGGGAUAACACCUGGAAACAGGUGCUAAUACCGCAUAAGCGCACGGGACCGCAUGGUCCAGUGUGAAAAACCGAGGUGGUAUGCGAUGGACCCGCGUCUGAUUAGCCAGUUGGCAGGGUAACGGCCUACCAAAGCGACGAUCAGGUAGCCGGCCUGAGAGGGUGGACGGCCACAUUGGGACUGAGACACGGCCCAAACUCCUACGGAAGGCAGCAG
Molecule: ribosomal RNA, 269 nt
Filed under: uncultured bacterium
Lineage: Bacteria
Description: partial 16S ribosomal RNA
Rfam family: Bacterial small subunit ribosomal RNA
Source: RNAcentral